Molecule: ribosomal RNA, 515 nt
Filed under: uncultured bacterium
Lineage: Bacteria
Description: partial 16S ribosomal RNA
Rfam family: Bacterial small subunit ribosomal RNA
Source: RNAcentral
GAUGAACGCUGGCGGCGUGCCUAAUACAUGCAAGUCGAGCGAAUGGAUUAAGAGCUUGCUCUUAUGAAGUUAGCGGCGGACGGGUGAGUAACACGUGGGUAACCUGCCCAUAAGACUGGGAUAACUCCGGGAAACCGGGGCUAAUACCGGAUAACAUUUUGAACCGCAUGGUUCGAAAUUGAAAGGCGACUUCGGCUGUCACUUAUGGAUGGACCCGCGUCGCAUUAGCUAGUUGGUGAGGUAACGGCUCACCAAGGCAACGAUGCGUAGCCGACCUGAGAGGGUGGUCGGCCACCCUGGGACUGAGACACGGCCCAGACUCCUACGGGAGGCAGCAGUAGGGAAUCUUCCGCAAUGGACGAAAGUCUGACGGAGCAACGCCGCGUGAGUGAUGAAGGCUUUCGGGUCGUAAAACUCUGUUGUUAGGGAAGAACAAGUGCUAGUUGAAUAAGCUGGCACCUUGACGGUACCUAACCAGAAAGCCACGGCUAACUACGUGCCAGCCGCCGCCGUAA